ACUGGUCAGAACGGGAAGUAGGCGAAGGGGAAGAAUCGAUCCUGGGAAGGUGCGGUGGGACCUACAGGCGAAGAGAAGCAGAAAAGAAAGGAAGAGAAGGGGAGAGGCUGGCGGAGAGGAAGCAGAAAAAGGGAAGGGUCUUACUCUUUCGUCCAGGCUUGGGUUCAGUGGCAGGAUCAUGGCUUACUCCAUCCUUGACCUCCUGGGAUCAAGCAAUCCUCUAGUCUCAGCUUCUUGAGUAGGUGUAGCAGGAGCAGCCAUGGGAAAGGAUCUCUUGGACACUGAAUACAGGAGGAAGGACUUCAUUUCAGCUGGGAGCAAGGUGGCAUAGGUGCCUAACAGCCAAGCUCGUCUAACAAAGGGAGGUUCAGCCUUUGUAUAGGCUUAUACUUUAGAUGUUACACAUGGAAGAAUGUUAGGUUCAUAGUUUUAGGACUCACAUGUGAAAAGGUUUUAGUUUACAGUUUCAGGAAUCACAUAUGAAAGGGUUCCAGUUUACAGUUUUAGGACUCACAUGUGAAAAGCUUUCUGGUUUGAUCUUGUUUUAAGUAAAAAUAGUGCCUUCUGGAGAGUUUCCCCAAGGCCUAGCCUGUUUUUUUCAGGAAGGAGAUUCAGGAGGCACCAGCUGGCCUGCUCUUUUAUUGAGAUGCACAGUGGGUGACAGAGGGGGAGGGAAUCCCAAAUGCCUGGGUCUUCCUCCUCACAGGAACACCAAUUAUUCUUGUGUUUGGUUAUUUAACAUAAUACCAAACUUCUUGGAGACUUUGCUCAUUUUUAAAAUUCUUCUUUCUUUGUCUUUGUCAGAUUAGAUUAAUUCAAAAACCUUGUCUUCAAGCUCUGAAGUUCUUUCUUCUAUUUGUUUGAUUCUAUUGUUGAAACUUUCCAGCAUAUUCUGCAUUUCUCUAACUGUGUCAUUCAUUUCCAGAAGUUGUGAUUUUUUUUUUUUAAUUUAUAAGAUCUAUUUCUUUGGAGAUUUUUUUUCACCCAUAUCCUAUAUAUUUUUUAAAGUUUCUUUAAGUUGAUUUCCCCUUUCUCUGGUGCCUCUUUGAUAGCUUAAUAAUUGACCUUCUGAAUUUUCUUUCUGACAAUUCAGAGAUUUCUUCUUGAUUUGAACCCAUUGCUGGUGAGCUAGUGUGACCUUUUGGGGGUAUGAAAGCACCUUGUUUUGUUAUAUUACCAGAAAUGUUUUUCUGUUUUAUUAUUUUUUUCAAUUUUGGUAGACUAUGUCAGAGGAAAGAUCUAGAACUCAAGGGCUGCUGUUCAGAUUAUUUUGUCCCAUGGGUGAUAACUUGUCCCAUGGUGCUGUACCUCUUCUUCUAUGGAUGCAGCUCCCUGAGAGCUGGACUGCAGUGAUUGUUAUUGCUCUUCAAGGUCUAGCCACCCAGCGGGGCUACCAGGCUCUGGACUGUUACUGGGGAGUGUCUGCAAGGAGUCCUGUGAUGUGAUUCAUCUUCAGGUCUCUCCGCUGUGGAUACCAGCAUCUGCUCUGGUGGAAAUAGCAGGGGAGUGGAUUGGACUCUGUCAGAGUCCUUGGUUGUAGUUUUGUUUAGUGCACUGGUUUUCUCAAGUGCUGGUUAUAUUAGCAGUGAAGUAGUUACACGGACAGACUCGGCCUCUGGGUAGCCAAGAUGUUACAGGCGGUGGAAUUAGCUGUUGUUUUCUCCAUCCUUGGGGCAGUAUUGUUCUGUUAUGAGUUGCUAUAACGGCUUCAGUUGGUUGGCCUCCAGCAAGGAGGUGGUGUUUUCAAGAGAUAAUCAGCUGUGGUAGUAUGGGGGGGCUACAAGCUUGCCCUAAGCUCAUCUGGAUAAGUAUUUGGGGUUCUUAGGUUAUGGGAAAGGCCAUAAAGCUCCCACAAGUUAAAGUCUUUUGUCUUCAUCUACCAGGGCGGGUAAAGAAAGACCAUCAGGUGGGGGAAAGUCAGGCCUGUCUAAGCUUAGACUCUCCUAGGGCAGGGCUUACUGCAGCCACUGUGGGGUGUGGGGGGUGGUUCUCAGGUCAAUGGAGUUACGCUCCAAGAGGGAUUAUGGCUGCCUCUGCUCCUUCAUACAGGUCACCAGGGAAGUGGGGGAAAGCCAGCAGUGAGGCUUCAUCCAGCUCCCCUGUAGCCAGCAAGGCCAGUGCUCCUGCCAUGUUCUCCCAACAGAGAUGAAUUUAUAUCCUGGCCUCUGGUGUACAAGGCUGAGAUCUUGCUGCAGUCUAUAAGCCUCCUUGCUGAGAAAGCAAGCAGGGCUUUCAGGCCUCACCUCUCCCUGGUUGCCAUGGCUGCUGUGCUCAUAUCUGCACUUCCUGUUUGUGCCCUACCCCUCAAAUUCUGCCCAGGAAAAUUAUGCUCAAUCGAAAUUAUUACAAAGUUCAGCGGGAAGUCUCCAUCUCCCUGUGACCCUUCCCCAAUCCCACUGUCUGCCCUCCCUGAGGGCCCCUGUGAAAUAAAGUCAGAAAUGGCUUCCCUGGGAGCUGGGAGUGCUUACAGAGUAAGCACUUCUUACUGCUUCUUCUUACUGCUGCUUCUACUUUUAUGUUUCAUGCGGCUCUCUAAAUUUAUUUCAGCUCUAAGUAAGGUUAAAUCCCUCUCCUUUCAUCUGGAUCUUCAGGUUCCCCAGUGAGGGUGUGUGUUUGGAGGCACAACUUCCCCUCACGCCCUUUAGGCAUGCUGAGUUUUUUGCUAUCUCAUGAAGUCUGCAGCAAUGGCAAGCUGCUUCUUUCAAAGGGUCUGUGAAUUCUUUUGGGUUUCCUGGCAUGUUUUGAGGUGGUUCUUGGAGCAAAGGUUCAUGAUGUGAGUCUCCACACACUGUUCUGCCCAUCUGAGUGGGAGCUGCAAGUUAGUUCUGCCUCUUAUUCACUAUUUUUUUUCUCGGAAUCCUCUUUUCUUUGUUGUUGUUGUUGUUUUUUGAGACAGGGUCUCACUCCAUCACUUAGCUGGAGGGCAGUGGCAUGAUCACAGCUCACUGCAGCCUCAACCUCCCAGGCUCAGGUGAUCCUCCCACCUCAGCCUCCCUAGUAGUCAGGACUACAGGUGCAUGCCACCACGUCCAGCUAAUUUUAGUAUUUUUUGUAGAGACGAAGUUUUUCCAUGUUGUGUAUGCUAGUCUCAAACUCCUGGAAUCAAGCCAUCUACCUGCCUUGUCCUCCAAAACUGCCGGGAUUAUGGGUGUGAGCCGCCAUGUCUGGCCAUGUUUUUCUUUUCUGCUCAGCAUAAUACUCUUGAGGUUCAUCCAUCCUGUUACAGGUAUCAUUCAUUUGUUCCUUUUCUUUCAGAGUUGUAUUCACAGUAGGUAUAAUUCACGUCAUCGCCUGUUGCUGGAUGUUCUGGUUGUCUCCAUGUUCUGGUUAUUUUGAAUAAAGCUGCUGUGAUUAUUAGUGGACAAGUUUUUGUGUGGACAUAUGUUUUAUUAAGAGUAAAAAUAUAGAAUCGAAAAUGCUGUAGCAUGUAAAAGUAUGCAUUUAACUGAAUGAGAAACUGUUAAAUGGUUUUCCAAAGUGAUGGUACUCAUUCUUCUUUUUGCAAGCAACGUAUGAGAGAUUCAGGUAUUUCACAUCCUUGUGAACAUUUGAUAUUUCCAUCCUGUUUUUAUUUAAUCCGUUUGAGUGGGUGAGUAGUUAUAUAUCACUAUGGUUUUAAUAGUGUUUUUCUCUUGACUAAUGCAGUUGAGCAUCUUCUCAUGGGUUUAUUGGCCAUUUGUGCAUCUUUUUUGCCCAGUUUCUUUUGAAUUGUUGGUCUUCUUAUUUUUGAGUUGUAAGACUUCUUUAUAUAUUCUGGAAAGCAGUCUUUGUCAGAUGUAUGUAUUGCAAAUAUUUUCUCCUAGUCAGUGGCUUGCCUUUUCAUUUUCUUAAUAUUAUCUGUUGAAAAGUGAAGGUUUAGGCUGGGUAUGGUGGCUCAUGCCUGUACUCCCAGUACUUUGGGAUGUCAAGGCGGAUGGAUCAUGAGGUCAGGCAUUCGAGACCAGCCUGAACAUGGUGAAACCCUGUCUCUACUAAAAAUAUAAAAAUUAGCCGGGCAUGGUGGCAUGCACCUGUAAUCCCAGCUACUCAAGAGGCUGAGGCAGGAGAAUCAUUUGAACCUGGGAGGUGGAGGUUGCAGUGAGCCAAGAUCAUGCCUCUGCACUCCAGCCUGGGUGACAGAGCAAGACUUCAUUAAAAAAAAAAAAAAAAAAAAAGGAAAAGAAAAAAGAAAAGAAAAGUGAGGGUUUUUAUUUUAAUGGAAAACUUAACAAUUUUUUUUCUAUGAUUUAUGCUCUUUGUCUACUAUCAAAAAAUCGUUUGCCUAUCCCAAGGUCAUAAACAUGUUCUCCUAGAUU
Long non-coding RNA from Callithrix jacchus (white-tufted-ear marmoset), 4295 nucleotides. RefSeq lists it as uncharacterized. Lineage: Eukaryota; Metazoa; Chordata; Mammalia; Primates; Cebidae. The record is from RefSeq and is a predicted model, not a curated record.